CGAGACGUAGCUUUAACUAAAGCAUUCAGCUUACGCCUGAAAGAUAUCCAAUAACCCUGGAUCGUCUCGA
This 70-nucleotide transfer RNA is filed under the name Alaudala cheleensis (Asian short-toed lark). RNAcentral describes it as "tRNA-Val". The record is from RNAcentral. Lineage: Eukaryota; Metazoa; Chordata; Aves; Passeriformes; Alaudidae.